CAGAACGAACGCUGGCGGCAGGCUUAACACAUGCAAGUCGAGCGCCCCGCAAGGGGAGCGGCAGACGGGUGAGUAACGCGUGGGAAUCUACCCAUCCCUACGGAACAACUCCGGGAAACUGGAGCUAAUACCGUAUACGCCCUUCGGGGGAAAGAUUUAUCGGGGAUGGAUGAGCCCGCGUUGGAUUAGCUAGUUGGUGGGGUAAUGGCCUACCAAGGCGACGAUCCAUAGCUGGUCUGAGAGGAUGAUCAGCCACACUGGGACUGAGACACGGCCCAGACUCCUACGGGAGGCAGCAGUGGGGAAUAUUGGACAAUGGGCGAAAGCCUGAUCCAGCCAUGCCGCGUGAGUGAUGAAGGCCCUAGGGUUGUAAAGCUCUUUCAACGGUGAAGAUAAUGACGGUAACCGUAGAAGAAGCCCCGGCUAACUUCGUG
This 434-nucleotide ribosomal RNA is filed under the name uncultured bacterium. Its description in RNAcentral is "bacterial SSU rRNA". It matches the Rfam family "Bacterial small subunit ribosomal RNA", at positions 25 to 507 of the family's 1533-position model. The record is from RNAcentral.